Molecule: ribosomal RNA, 460 nt
Filed under: uncultured bacterium
Lineage: Bacteria
Description: partial 16S ribosomal RNA
Rfam family: Bacterial small subunit ribosomal RNA
Source: RNAcentral
CCUACGGGUGGCAGCAGUGAGGAAUAUUGGUCAAUGGACGAGAGUCUGAACCAGCCAAGUAGCGUGAAGGAUGACUGCCCUAUGGGUGGUAAACUGCUUUUAUAUGGGAAUAAAAUGUUCCACGUGUGGGAUUUUGUAUGUACCAUAUGAAUAAGCAUCGGAUAACUACGUGCCAGCAGCCGCGGUAAUACAGUGGAUCCGAGCGUUAUCCGGAGUUUUUGGGUUUAAAGGGAUAGUAGGUGGAUUGUUAAGUCAGUUGUGAAAGUUUGCGGCUCAACCGUAAAAUUGCAGUUGAAACUGGCAGUCUUGAGUACAGUCGAGGUGGGCGGAAUUCGUGGUGUAGCGGUGAAAUGCUUAGAUAUCACGAAGAACUCCGAUUGCGAAGGCAGCUCACUGGACUGCAACUGACACUGAGGCUCGAAAGUGUGGGUAUCAAACAGGAUUAGAUACCCCGGUAGUA